Molecule: long non-coding RNA, 1183 nt
Organism: Myxocyprinus asiaticus (Chinese sucker)
Lineage: Eukaryota; Metazoa; Chordata; Actinopteri; Cypriniformes; Catostomidae
Exons: 4
Source: RefSeq, a predicted model, not a curated record
AUUCAGGCAUCACAGUCCAUCUAUCGAGUAACUACCAGGUAGAUACUCAAAUGCAACGGUUUGGCAGGAGUUUGCAGUUUCACCAUGGUGGAGAGAAGGUCCAUAGCAGAGUUGCUCCGCGAGGCAGCGCAUCGUUUGGAGAAUCCAGCUACAGCACACACCUCGGCCUCAUUUCUAUUAACUUCUGAAGCGAGGUAAAUGACAGAUGCAACAUGUUCAGGAAAUGUCCAGACAUCCUUUUCCUCAUUUCCGGUGCCUAGACUCCCAGUUGAUGGUAGGUUAAUACUGUUGUGAGGUUGUCUUUAAAUUGUUUGCAUCUUAUGUGUGUAUAGGGCUUUGUGUCUGUGUAACUGUGUUGUUUGUUCUCAUAACUGAAGUAGCACGGCUUUUUAGCCCAUACAGAGGGCAAAAUAUGCCAUGUCGAGCACCUAGAAGUGUACCUCUUUUAACAUACAUGCACACAUUCUGCUGCCUGGCAAGAAAAGAUGCAUCCUUGGUUCCAACAAGAGCUAUCAAGAAUGACCUUGCCCAUGCGGGGCUGGGUGAUAAGUGCUUUACUUUUCAAGGUCUCCCAAACAUUCCCCCAUGUGCCAUUGCACCAGAUCCACACUGUUUACACUAUUCAUUGAAAUAAGCUUACGAACGGCUUGUUUAAGUCGCAUACAUGUAAAGAUUGCCUUGCUGCUGAUGACCCAAUGAAUGGUGACCUGCAUUUGGUUAUUUAGUGCAGAAUCAUUCUUAAUUAUCAUUCUUUUUUCAAGAGUUCAUGGAAUUUCUUUUCUGUGCCUUUCCUCAAUUGAGAAAUGGUGGAGGAUAUGAGUUGAUGAAAAUUUCUGGAACAACACGAAGCCGUGAACUUGUCCUCAUCCCUUGUCCAAAUUAUGGCUACAGUGUUAAAUAUCUCAAAGACCCACAGACCUACAUAGGCCAUGCCACCAUCUUUGUCCGUCCACUUCAAACACACUUAAAUCUUGUAAGUCUUCAAUAACCUGUCUCUGCUGUAUUACUAAAAUGUCAUGUGUAGCGGAAAUUUAUGCUGUGUGAGCUAAUGUUGUGUAGGUAUUCAUUAAAAAAUGAUUUUUAUUGCAAACUUGUUUCAUUAUUACAUUCACCAUUUAACCAAGAUAUGAGAUUGAGACAGUCUUUUUGUUACAUUGCAGUGAGAGAAUCCUUUAGGUAUAUA